GCUUGUGCGAGGUGCUGGUUGCCAUGGUUUCGAUGGUAUUGGCGGAUGCUUUCAGUUAGCUAAUCCUGCUCGAUGCUCUCCAAACCCUGAGAUGAAUGCACUUGAUGCCAGAUGCAGCUGGCCCUGCAUUCAGUCCUGAGCAUUCACAGACCCAUCGACUGAAUACAGCAGCUAGUCAAGCGCCCGCUCUCUCCGCUUAAGUUACCAAAUGACUGAAACAAAGUAUUGUGGACUGUCUGGUCACUGGUGAAGACAACAUGAUGAAAACUGACAUGAUGCUGCUGUCUCGUCUGCUCCUUCCAGAAAUACAGCACUAAACCUCCACAAUCACAGCAGACCUGCUUCAUUUACCAAAGCCGGAGAGAGAUAUUCAUCAACUGAAUGUUUCAAACUAGGUUUAAUGUUGCUGGAAUGCAUAAUGUAAUCUUCACCAGUUUGCAACAUUGUCUGCCAUUUAGCUGGCAAUAUGAAGCAUUCGCAACCCAUUUUGCUUCUGUAAUGUGACGUAUUUAUGAACGAAUCAGGAUAUCC
Molecule: long non-coding RNA, 531 nt
Organism: Cyprinus carpio carpio
Lineage: Eukaryota; Metazoa; Chordata; Actinopteri; Cypriniformes; Cyprinidae
Source: Ensembl